AGCGAACGCUAGCGGCGGGCCUAACACAUGCAAGUCGAGCGGGGAGCAAUCCCCAGCGGCGGACGGGUGAGUAACACGUAGGUUAUGUGCCCUUUGGUGGGGAAUAACCGUGGGAAACCAUGGCUAAUUCCGCAUAUCGAGCGAAAUCUUGAAAGCCUUCUGGCGCCAAAGGAGCAACCUGCGGCCCAUUAGCUUGUUGGUAGGGUAACGGCCUACCAAGGCGAUGAUGGGUAGCUGGUCUGAGAGGAUGAUCAGCCACACUGGAACUGAGACACGGUCCAGACUCCUACGGGAGGCAGCAGUGGGGAAUAUUGCGCAAUGGGCGAAAGCCUGACGCAGCCACGCCGCGUGAGUGAUGAAGGCCUCGGUC
This 370-nucleotide ribosomal RNA is filed under the name uncultured bacterium. RNAcentral's name for it is "bacterial SSU rRNA". It matches the Rfam family "Bacterial small subunit ribosomal RNA", at positions 29 to 424 of the family's 1533-position model. The record is from RNAcentral.